GUGUCAGCAGCCGCGGUAAUACGUAUGGGGCGAGCGUUGUUCGGAGUUAUUGGGCGUAAAGGGCGUGUAGGCGGCUCAUCAAGUCUGGUGUGAAAUCGGCAGGCUCAACCUGUCAUAUGCGCUGGAAACUGGUGGGCUAGAGUUCUUGAGGGGAAGCUGGAAUUCCAGGUGUAGGGGUGAAAUCUGUAGAUAUCUGGAAGAACACCGGUGGCGAAGGCGAGCUUCUAUCAGAGGACUGACGCUGAGGCGCGAAAGCGUGGGGAGCAAACAGGAUUAGAUACCCUGGUAGUCCACGCUGUAAACGAUGUGCACUAGGCGUGGGGCACGUACGUGUUCUGUGCCGUAGCUAACGUGAUAAGUGCACCGCCUGGGGAGUAUGCUCGCAAGGGUGAAACUUAAAGGAAUUGGCGGGG
Molecule: ribosomal RNA, 413 nt
Filed under: uncultured prokaryote
Description: bacterial SSU rRNA
Rfam family: Bacterial small subunit ribosomal RNA
Source: RNAcentral